GUGCUCGAGCGUGCGCUGGCGGCGGCCCGGGCUCCCGGGCGUCUCUCACGCUGUGUUUUGGCGGCGCCUGGGGUCUUCGUUUGCAUAUGAGAAGAGCCGAAAGCACAGAGCUACAGGCGAAUACAAGUGGAUUUUUUUUCUUUUUCUGUUUUUUUAUUAGAAGUAAUAGUUGCUGCAUUUUGAAAAAUCAAGAGGAAAAGAGUUAACAGGAAGAAAAGUUCGAGGCUGGAAUGCAGUGGUGCAAACAUGGCUCACUACAGCCUCAACCUCCUGGCCUCAAGCGAUCCUCCUGCCUCCACUUCCUGAGUAACUUUGGUCACAGAGACACGGUUUCCCUAUGUUGCCCAGGCUGGUCUUGAACUCCUGGUCUCAAGUGAUCCUCCUGCCUUGGCAAAAUGCUGGGAUUACAGAGCUGCCGGCUUCCCCUUGAAGGAAUAGGAGUAGACCUGCUGAACUAUCACAUGAGAGAAGAGGCCCAAAAGCUUGCACACUACAGUCAAGCUGGCCCUUAAAGAGAUGGACCUAGAAGAUGCUGAGCCAGAUGUACUCAAUUACUUCUCCAAAAUUCAUCAAUUAGGGUCACACAGCUGCUAAUUGUUCUGUGUGGGGAACAUGUGAGGGGAGAAGAAAAGACACACAUACAAUACCUGUAAGGGUAAACAACCUUUAUCCCAUGUAAAUGGCAAUGCGGAUAUAAUAAGCAAAUGAUAUAAUAAGCAAAUUGAUAUAAUAAGCAGAUUGAUAUAAUAAGCAAAUUGCAAUGGGAAGGGGAGAAGGAAAAGAUACAUACAUACAUAUAUAUACAUGUAUAUAUAUGUAUACACAUAUACACUCACCAGACUAUGGAGGAUUCACCACCAGACUGGGAAGCAACAGCCUGGGCUCCAGAGUCGGACACCACACUCACCAGAUUAUGGAGGAUUCACCACCAGACUGAGAAGCAACAGUCUGGGCUCCAGAGUCAGAAGUAACAACAGGCUGACCUCCAGAGUCGGACACUAACUCACCAUAGUAUGGAGGGGAUUCACCACCAGACUGGGAAGCAACAGCCUGGGCUCCAGAGUUGGCUACCCAUCCAUGCACAGAUGAGGAGAGGUCUCAUGAAGCUUUGGUAUUGUCCGGGACCCUAGCUUUUUUUGUAAAAGUUGUUUGGCAUGAGGCCCAGUCACAGUGGCCCUUCGCUGUGUCAUAAACACUUUUCAUGUAAUUAUUUGUGGUUUUAUGAUCAUAUUUAUAAUUACAGCAAAUUUUCCACUUUAUAACACAACAACUUGUACAUUUCACUAAUAGGCAUACAUAUUGUGUCUGUUUUUUUCACUAGUAUAACUAAUGCUACAGCAAACAUCUGUGUGCAUAAAUCUUUGUUUAAAUAUGAUUAUUUUCUUAUUAUUAGAAAUAAAAUGGUGAUGAGAAGAUAAAAGUAUUUCUAAGGCUCUUGAAGCAAGUGGUCACACUGUUUCCUCCCACAAAUUUUGCCAUUUUAUUCUGAACAGAAUACCUUUUUCAUUUUUUACUCUGUAUUAUACUUUUUAAAUCUUUGCUAACUUUACAGUUGAAUGAUACCUCAAUAAUACUUGCAUUUUAUAAAGAAAUUAACAUUUUUUUCUUCUUAUAGUUUCUAAUCCAUAGGUAGUUUAAACUAUUCAUUGAUAUUCUUUUUUUUUGCAUUUCUAUGCUUCAUUAUUUAUAGAAAAUUUUUACCGUUUUAUAUUUCUUUGGUUUUGUGUUACUCUUGAUUUUCCAUAUUAUGUUUUUCCAUAUGAAUAUCUUUUAUUGUUAUGUAGUUAACCAAGUUGUGUCUUCCUUUAUUUUUCUUUUACUGUUUUAAGCUUGGAAUUAUUUCCCAUGGAGAGAUAAAUAUUAGUCUACCUAUUUUUUAUACAAGUAUUUUGAUUUUUUGAAUUAGCAGUUUAAUUCAUUGAAAAUUUAAUUUUGUCUAAUAUAUGAGGUGAAUAUCUAAAGUUUUUCCACCUAGCUUAUAUUUGGUUGCAAAAUCAUUGUUUACGUUUCCCCAUUGGUUUGUAUUGUUGCAUUUCCCACGUGAACACUUCUGAACCAUUGUUUUGUUUCAUUUACUUAUUUGUCUUUUCCUCUCUCAGAACCACACUAACUUGUUAUUAUGACUUUAUACCAUUUUGUAAUACUCGGUAACAUUAUUAAUUCCUCAUCAAUCUGACUUUUCAAUAGUUUUAAAAUUUAAUCUUAAACAUCACAAUCUUAAAAAAAAACCCAUAAAUUCCAUUGGCAUUUUGACCAAGAGUAUAUUAAUUGCACAGAUUGCUUUGGGUGAAAUUAACCACUUUGUAGGCUCAGUCCUCCUAUUUGGAAAAUGUUAAUUAUCUCCAUCUAUUUAUGUUAUCUUCUGUACUUCCCUUUCUUCCUAUAUUUUACACAUGUCCUGAUAAUGUUACUCCAAAGUAUUUUAUGAUUUUUUUCCCUACUGUACCACACUGCAUGUUUACUCAUACAAACAUUAUAAUAAAAUUUCUUACUUUUAAAAUAACUUCUAUUUUAAAAAUA
This 2520-nucleotide long non-coding RNA is filed under the name Homo sapiens (human). RNAcentral describes it as "non-protein coding LINC01088:18". Lineage: Eukaryota; Metazoa; Chordata; Mammalia; Primates; Hominidae. The record is from RNAcentral.